Molecule: long non-coding RNA, 540 nt
Organism: Lepisosteus oculatus (spotted gar)
Lineage: Eukaryota; Metazoa; Chordata; Actinopteri; Semionotiformes; Lepisosteidae
Source: RefSeq, a predicted model, not a curated record
UGGAGCUGGCGGUGAGGAAAGCGCAUCUGGCUUGCUGGGGGAGGCCUCACUCUCCUGCAGGACGCAGAGGUUGCAACAGCAAGCUCAGCUGCCUGAUUUGAGAGAUGAGCUAAGGUUCUUCCAGAUCGUGUGGUUACAAAAUAAAAAAGUAUUCAGUGGCUUCAGAAUAAACGGUAAUCAAAAAGAGGUGUGCAGUGAAACGGUCAUUCUAUUAUCAACUAUGGAGGUGGGGCCAUCCUAGAACAUUUAUUUUUAGAUCCUUUCCCUGGGUCCCUGCAGCUGGAACCCUGGCUGACAGCUGUGCACAGCCACAUCCCCUCCUGAGAAGUGCUUCAGCUGGACAAGUCCAUUCUCUACUGCUGCUGGCUGACCACAAGACACUUCUGUUUAAGAGGAGCAGGAACAGUUGUUGUAUUUUCUCUGCGCUUUUGCAUGUGGUCGGCUUUCUUAAACAGACACUGGCAUGGCCGUUGCCAAGCGCAGCUCCAUUCUCAAUGGUUGGCGGCUGACAGAGACAGGGUUGACAUGACGGCACUGUAC